GACGAACGCUGGCGGCGUGCUUAACACAUGCAAGUCGAACGCUGAAGCUCAGCUUUUGUUGGGUGGAUGAGUGGCGAACGGGUGAGUAACACGUGAGUAACCUGCCUCCUUCUUUGGGAUAACGCCCGGAAACGGGUGCUAAUACUGGAUAUUCACUGGUCUUCGCAUGGGGGUUGGUGGAAAGGGUUUUUCUGGUGGGGGAUGGGCUCGCGGCCUAUCAGCUUGUUGGUGGGGUGAUGGCCUACCAAGGCUUUGACGGGUAGCCGGCCUGAGAGGGUGACCGGUCACAUUGGGACUGAGAUACGGCCCAGACUCCUACGGGAGGCAGCAGUGGGGAAUAUUGCACAAUGGGCGCAAGCCUGAUGCAGCGCCGCCGCGUGAGGGAUGGCGGCCUUCGGGUUGUGAACCUCUUUCGCUCAUGGUCAAGCCGCAACAAUGGUUGUGGUGAGGGUAGUGGGUAAAGAAGCGCCGGCUAACUACGUG
Molecule: ribosomal RNA, 483 nt
Filed under: uncultured bacterium
Lineage: Bacteria
Description: partial 16S ribosomal RNA
Rfam family: Bacterial small subunit ribosomal RNA
Source: RNAcentral